Molecule: ribosomal RNA, 418 nt
Filed under: Panjange alba
Lineage: Eukaryota; Metazoa; Arthropoda; Arachnida; Araneae; Pholcidae
Description: partial 16S ribosomal RNA
Rfam family: Archaeal large subunit ribosomal RNA
Source: RNAcentral
UUCUUUAAGUAAUCAUUUAAAGUAAGACCUGCUCAAUGACAAGUUUCUAUAGCCGCAGUUCACUGUGCUAAGGUAGCAUAAUAAUUUGCUUCUUAAUUAGAAGAUAGAAUGAAUGGUUAAACACCUAAAAAUGUUACUAUUUACAUAACGAACCUAGGAUUAAGAUAAAAACCUCUUUAAAAAAGAGUGGGACGACAAGACCCUGAUAAACUCGAUAUUUAGUUGGGGAAACUUCAUAAAAAAACUUUAUUACAUUCAUAAACAAACUUAAAAUAAAACACAGUUACUACAGGGAUAACAGCGCAAUUUCCUUUAAGAGUCCUAAUCAAAAAGGAAGAUUACGACCUCGAUGUUGAAUUAAUAAACCUUAUAAGAGCACAAACUUAUAGCCGGUAGUCUGUUCGACCAUUAAAUAAUU